GAGGGAUAUUGGGCAAUGGGGGAAACCCUGACCCAGCAACGCCGCGUGAGGGAUGACGGUUUUCGGAUUGUAAACCUCUGUCCUCUGUGAAGAUAGUGACGGUAGCAGAGGAGGAAGCUCCGGCUAACUACGUGCCAGCAGCCGCGGUAAUACGUAGGGAGCAAGCGUUGUCCGGAUUUACUGGGUGUAAAGGGUGCGUAGGCGGAUUGGCAAGUCAGAAGUGAAAUCCAUGGGCUUAACCCAUGAACUGCUUUUGAAACUGUUAGUCUUGAGUGAAGUAGAGGUAGGCGGAAUUCCCGGUGUAGCGGUGAAAUGCGUAGAGAUCGGGAGGAACACCAGUGGCGAAGGCGGCCUACUGGGCUUUAACUGACGCUGAGGCACGAAAGUGUGGGUAGCAAACAGGAUUAGAUACCCUGGUAGUCCACACUGUAAACGAUGAUUACUAGGUGUGGGGGGUCUAACCCCCUCCGUGCCGGAGUUAACACAAUAAGUAAUCCACCUGGGGAGUACGACCGCAAGGUUGAAACUCAAAGGAAUUGACGGGGGCCCGCACAAGCAGUGGAGUAUGUGGUUUAAUUCGACGCAACGCGAAGAACCUUACCAAGUCUUGACAUCCCUUGACGAACAUAGAAAUAUGUUUUCUCUUCGGAGCAAGGAGACAGGUGGUGCAUGGUUGUCGUCAGCUCGUGUCGUGAGAUGUUGGGUUAAGUCCCGCAACGAGCGCAACCCUUAUGGUCAGUUACUACGCAAGAGGACUCUGGCCAGACUGCCGUUGACAAAACGGAGGAAGGUGGGGAUGACGUCAAAUCAUCAUGCCCUUUAUGACUUGGGCUACACACGUACUACAAUGGCGUUAAACAAAGAGAAGCAAGACCGCGAGGUGGAGCAAAACUCAGAAACAACGUCCCAGUUCGGACUGCAGGCUGCAACUCGCCUGCACGAAGUCGGAAUUGCUAGUAAUCGUGGAUCAGCAUGCCACGGUGAAUACGUUCCCG
This 995-nucleotide ribosomal RNA is filed under the name uncultured bacterium. RNAcentral's name for it is "bacterial SSU rRNA". It matches the Rfam family "Bacterial small subunit ribosomal RNA", at positions 356 to 1376 of the family's 1533-position model. The record is from RNAcentral.